UGAGGAACAUGACCUUCGGCGGGGGAUAGCCGGCCCAACGGCCGGGUAAUACCGCGUACGACCACUUUGGGACAUCCCUCGGUGGUGAAAGCAGCAAUGCGCCGAUGGAGUGCCUCGCGGCCUAUCAGCUAGUUGGUGAGGUAACGGCUCACCAAGGCGACGACGGGUAGCUGGU
RNAcentral lists this ribosomal RNA (175 nucleotides) under uncultured bacterium. Its description in RNAcentral is "partial 16S ribosomal RNA". It matches the Rfam family "Bacterial small subunit ribosomal RNA", at positions 118 to 291 of the family's 1533-position model. The record is from RNAcentral.